Molecule: ribosomal RNA, 440 nt
Filed under: uncultured bacterium
Lineage: Bacteria
Description: partial 16S ribosomal RNA
Rfam family: Bacterial small subunit ribosomal RNA
Source: RNAcentral
CCUACGGGAGGCUGCAGUGGGGAAUAUUGCACAAUGGGGGAAACCCUGAUGCAGCGACGCCGCGUGAGUGAGGAAGUAUUUCGGUAUGUAAAGCUCUAUCAUCAGGGAAGAAAAUGACGGUACCUGACUAAGAAGCCCCGGCUAACUACGUGCCAGCAGCCGCGGUAAUACGUAGGGUGCAAGCGUUAUCCGGAUUUACUGGGUGUAAAGGGAGCGUAGACGGCUAAUCAAGUCAGAAGUGAAAACCCAGGGCUCAACCUUGGGAGUGCUUUUGAAACUGAGUAGCUAGAGUGUAGGAGAGGUAGGCGGAAUUCCGGGUGUAGGGGUAAAAUGCGUAGAUAUUAGGAGGAAUACCAGUGGCGAAGGCGGCUUACUGGACUGUAACUGACGUUGAGGCGCGAAAGCGUGGGGAGCAAACAGGAUUAGAUACCCCAGUAGUC